Molecule: long non-coding RNA, 960 nt
Organism: Brachypodium distachyon (stiff brome)
Lineage: Eukaryota; Viridiplantae; Streptophyta; Magnoliopsida; Poales; Poaceae
Exons: 2
Source: RefSeq, a predicted model, not a curated record
GGGACGGGGACGGGGACGGGGUGGCGUUGGUUGAUCUGGUGGCAGGUGUGGGCGCCCUGGUAGGUGACGUCGAAGACGGCCAAGUCGGCGUCAGAGCGCUGCACCUGCCUCGUCGCCGGGCACCCCUGCGCCGUCCGGAAAAGGAGAGAAAGUAUAUGAAGCACGUAUCAAAUAUGUUCAGUUGUAGACGUAAGGUCCAGAAUAAUUGGCGCUAACCUUGGAAAUUUGGCUCCGAGAAUGUCCUUCUGGCCGUACUUCCUCCAGCUGAACCCGUCGUCUGGAGUGUACUCUAGAUUUGUAUCUGGUAUUCGGAAUUUCUCAGUCCAUUUUGGCAGGCCCUUCCUGUUCACAUGACCACGUACAAAAUUUAAGGAUCGGAUCUUAAUGUAAUUUCAGUUGAUAGAUGCAAACGCUAGCAGGCGAACAUUCAAUGAAAAUUCUCAUUCAGUGCAAACUUUCAAAUUAUGUUAUAGAUGCAAGUAGUGUCUAAGUACUUUAUCAUACGAUAAUGUUAUAGAUAUAUGCACAUUUGCUUUUGACCAAAAACACCAAAGUACACCACUUGUGCCGUUAAUUAUUCUCCAAUUUAUUUAUUUUUUACUUGUGUCAUUACUCGAUCUACGCCGCUUUCUUGUGCGCCGUGCGUUAGGUGUCUUUCAAAAAUCGCCCCAAAAAUGUAUAUUUCAAAAAUUAAGAAGGCUACUCAUUUUGGAUGUGUUGAAGGCACUUCAGAACCUGCAAUAUACUGAUAUGUAUGCGUUACCAGCGUGAAACGUCAUAUUGCUAGCAUUUUGAUCUUAAAAAGAAGAUACUGAGAGCACCGGAUGCUACCCUAUCCCUGCUAUCCUGGGGAACUAAAUUAAUAGGUAUUUGCUUUAUUGAACACUCAUUAAAGGGGUUCCGCUCCAUGAAACGGGUACAAGGAAAGAAAGUAUUUUCUAUGAAACACCAAGUACAAGU